GAGGGAGGGAAGAGAGGAAAGAGCUCCUCUCCUGUUAAAGGAUGUCAAGUCCUCAGCUGAGAGUCAUUGAGGAGAGCUGAUCCAUCCAUCCUGCCCAUCCAGAAGCAUCUGAACACUAAGACUCCACAGCCUCGCCACAGCCUUGAAGGGCCCCCCCCCCCAAGUUCAUUCGGAAAAGAAAAUAUAAAUAGUUUGCACGUUAACAGGUGGGUGAGCUGAAUUGCCACCAUAUCACUGUCAGGUAAGUCUUUUAUAGGCAGAGAAAGAUUUUUCUGUAGGUCUAACGGUGCAUACUGAGCUCCUCCAUAACUGUACCUGCAUUUGUCCCCCAUUUUUGUAAAACAGGUCACAAGACGCUGGGCUCAAUGUCUAUGAACCAAAGGAAUUCCAUCAUACCAUAGGAGUCUGAAAUCUCCAAUCCAGUUCGAGCUCGACAUCACAUGACUCCGGUGCCGCCGCCAACUUGACCCCGGCCCCCUUUGUUGUUCAGACCCGCAGUUUUUCGCCCAAAGGUCUAGUUGUGACAGUGGCUUUUAAUGAGAAUCCAGUUGGCCUUCCCUCCCUAGGACCCCUCAUUAAUGUUGGCCUCCGUGUCAGAGGGUGGGGGGCUGCGGCGGGGGCAGGCUCUCGUGGUAUCACUGCUCUGUGGAGAGCCGGGCCUGAUCCCAGCCACGAGGAGCCCGCAGGCGGAGAGACCGGUUUAAUAUUCCGCUCUGCGACGUGUCGGCUUUCCAAUUCACCACGAUUGCAUUAUUAAACUUACAUAAGCUCAUUUCCAUACAAAGCAGGGGACCAGCGGAAGAGAGUCAUACAUAUUUAUCGGCGUGUGCCUGACUAACGCACGGACACACUCGCGCCGGCAUAACUUAGCCGUGGUACAUAAGUGAGGGGUGGAAACCGGGUGCGUUCCUUAUGUUCUGAGCGUGAGCAGUAUUGAGCGGGGACGGUCAGCGAGAGCCACCCAUCAAUCACCCGACCAGCCCGAGACUUAGACGGUUUCUCACACUCACGCACAGGCAGCAUUCGAACGAGUUCAUCGCGAGGAAAGGCGACGCGUACCGAGCUCUGAGAGGUUUACGACCAAUGAUCUACACGCGCCAAGCACACACAGCCCUGCCAAAACUCCACUUGUCCAUGUUGACUGGUCCCUUCCACGGUGGAUAUUUCCAUCCACUAUAGCAUCCACUGCCCUGCCUGUUUUGCCUCUCCCUGCUGCCCAACUGUCUUCUCCUACUCCACUCGUUCCUGGUCAGUUCUCCUCCCUACAUUCCCGACCCCCUUUUCUUCCUCACCCACCUUCAGAUGAGGACUUUCCUCUUCCUUUGAGAUUGCUGUUGUGUCUUAUGGCUUUUUAUUCCUACGUGAUGGUAGAUGUGUUCAUGUAGGGAUAGAAGCCACUAAACACACAGUGAGAGGUCAACGUGCAGGCCAGUUGAGCCAAGGCUCCCUUUUUCAAUAUGAAACCAUAAAAUACAACAUGCGCGUAUGCAACAUAGACUCUUCAGAUCCACUUUGCAAGUAGCUAUUUUACUGUGGAAUUAUAUUCAACAAGUUCCACACAUAUUUAUACAGCGAUGUCCAUUACAUGAGAAUAGUGGCAAACCAAAACAGGAACAAAUGUCAAAUGUCGCAGUCAGUAACAAAGGAAGCAAUCAUUUCCAGAGAAAAAGAACCAUCUUCAUAAAGAGGAUGGUAAGAUACUUCUCUAUAGGUUCUCUAUGUCCAUGGAUACUGAGGUAAGUGGCGUUCCAAAUUUCCAACCCAAAACACGCUGCACAUUUGAAAUCCUGAUAUCUGAAACGUUAAAUGUUAUUCUAUGUGCUUUAUUAUGAUGACAAAUAAAACACAUUGGUAGCCGCUGUCAUAGCUGGAGUGCAGUACCCUCAGUAAUGUACAAGAAUGUUCACACGAUUCAUCUACAUCAUUCACAACACAUGAUAGGAGCAUCAAUUAUUGACAGUGUUUUCUGUAGACCUCAGUGCUUUCUGGGAGAAUGUUGGAAUAGAUUAUUGCCAAUGGAUUCACUGCCUCAGGGUGUGUGUGGUUUUCUGUUUUCCUAAGUCGAAUUGGCGCAUGAAUAUGAAGUGUGUUUGUAUGUUCAUACAUGCAUCUCAGUCUUUUAAUCCGUCUCCAUCUGCUUCUGGCUUUGACUGUCCUGUAAUAAAUAAUGCUCUUUUGUGUUGUUGCUUUCUUUCAUUUGUUUUCUUUAUAUUGUCAAUGGUGCUGAUCGUUGAAUAAAUUAUACAUUCUCACCA
Molecule: long non-coding RNA, 2255 nt
Organism: Esox lucius (northern pike)
Lineage: Eukaryota; Metazoa; Chordata; Actinopteri; Esociformes; Esocidae
Source: Ensembl